GAGUAACGCGUGAGAAUCUACCCUCAGGUCGGGGACAACCACUGGAAACGGUGGCUAAUACCGGAUGUGCCGAGAGGUGAAAGGCUUGCUGCCUGGGGAAGAGCUUGCGUCUGAUUAGCUAGUUGGUAGUGUAAGGGACUACCAAGGCGACGAUCAGUAGCUGGUCUGAGAGGAUGAUCAGCCACACUGGGACUGAGACACGGCCCAGACUCCUACGGGAGGCAGCAGUGGGGAAUUUUCCGCAAUGGGCGAAAGCCUGACGGAGCAAUACCGCGUGAGGGAGGAAGGCUCUUGGGUUGUAAACCUCUUUUCUCAGGGAAGAAAAAAAUGACGGUACCUGAGGAAUAAGCAUCGGCUAACUCCGUGCCAGCAGCCGCGGUAAUACGGAGGAUGCAAGCGUUAUCCGGAAUGAUUGGGCGUAAAGGGUCCGCAGGUGGCAUUGAAAGUCUGCUGUUAAAGAGUUUGGCUCAACCAAAUAAAAGCAGUGGAAACUACAAAGCUAGAGUUUGGUCGGGGCAGAGGGAAUUCCUGGUGUAGCGGUGAAAUGCGUAGAUAUCAGGAAGAACACCAGUGGCGAAGGCGCUCUGCUAGGCCGAGACUGACAC
RNAcentral lists this ribosomal RNA (605 nucleotides) under Dolichospermum flos-aquae LEGE 02268. Its description in RNAcentral is "bacterial SSU rRNA". It matches the Rfam family "Bacterial small subunit ribosomal RNA", at positions 108 to 746 of the family's 1533-position model. Lineage: Bacteria; Bacillati; Cyanobacteriota; Cyanophyceae; Nostocales; Aphanizomenonaceae. The record is from RNAcentral.